AAGGAACUACGCAGGGGAGAGAGAGAAACUGACAGCCUGUGUGAUUGUACUAAGCUCUCUGGAAGAUUCAGGCUGGAUCAUGCCUGGAAUAGGAUUUAGAAAAGACAACAACUUGUGCCUGUCCUGGAGAUGUGCCUUGGGUCCCUUACCACAUCUCUGCCCUUGGCAUCCUUCUCUGCAGAGUGCAUCCUUGGGGCCUCCAAGCCGGUCCCAGUACAGCUUGGGAGAACCACACACCAGUUGGCAGCUGUUUGGUGCAGCUGUCCUUGGGACCAUCGAUCUGCCAGUACCUAGAAAGGGUCAAACUCCCAUAGGAUGGGCUGCUCUGAUCACCAGCAGGGUGGGCCCUCUGUCUGAACCGUUUCGGCAGUUAGGGAGGGCCUCUACCCUCCCAGAGGCCAGCCACCCCUGACUUCCAGAGGCACACACCAUGUCAGGAUUUCCAGGUGCUGCUGCAGCCCGUGACCACACUGGAAUCUGGCUCUCUUGGACACAGUAACUGGGAUUGGAGCUACCCGGCUCUCACGACCUGAGCCGGCACUGCAGCUCCUGGGCACGUCUGAAGGGAUGAACCCGCCCAGCUCCAAGGGAGACUUCGCGCGUUGUGAGCCGGGACUGUCCGGAAAUCUCCACUGAAGCUGUGCCAGCUCACACACUUGCGGGCAAAGCCCUGGUCUCCAGGACACCAAAUUGUCACCAUUUUUGGAAUUUUCAGUUCUUCGACUUUUGAGACUCUUUGGUCAGAGGGACAGGUACAAAAAUGAUUUGCAUUUCACCUGAGAAUGAUAUAGAGAAAGAGGAAGAAGGGGAGCAAGAGGGGAAGGGGAGAGGUGAUGGAGAGGGGGUAGAAGAGAAAGAGGAAGAAGGAAGGAGAGAAAGAUGAAGAGGAUGGUGGGAUAAAGAUGAAAAAAGAGCAAGGCAAUGUUAACAGAGGCCAGGGGAACA
This is a long non-coding RNA of Meriones unguiculatus (Mongolian gerbil), 945 nucleotides long. RefSeq lists it as uncharacterized. NCBI's taxonomy places the organism in Eukaryota, Metazoa, Chordata, Mammalia, Rodentia, Muridae. The record is from RefSeq and is a predicted model, not a curated record. The transcript has 4 exons.